RNAcentral lists this ribosomal RNA (253 nucleotides) under uncultured bacterium. RNAcentral describes it as "partial 16S ribosomal RNA". It matches the Rfam family "Bacterial small subunit ribosomal RNA", at positions 524 to 776 of the family's 1533-position model. The record is from RNAcentral.
UACGAAGGGGGCGAGCGUUGUUCGGAUUUACUGGGCGUAAAGGGCGCGCAGGCGGUCACUUUUGUCGAGUGUGAAAGCCCCGGGCUUAACCUGGGAACUGCGCUCGAAACGGGAUGACUAGAGAUCGGGAGAGGAGAGUGGAACUCCCAGUGUAGAGGUGAAAUUCGUAGAUAUUGGGAAGAACACCGGUGGCGAAGGCGGCUCUCUGGACCGAUACUGACGCUGAGGCGCGAAAGCUAGGGGAGCAAACGGG